This 253-nucleotide ribosomal RNA is filed under the name uncultured bacterium. RNAcentral describes it as "partial 16S ribosomal RNA". It matches the Rfam family "Bacterial small subunit ribosomal RNA", at positions 524 to 776 of the family's 1533-position model. The record is from RNAcentral.
UACGGGGGGGGCAAGCGUUGUUCGGAAUUACUGGGCGUAAAGGGCUCGUAGGUGGCCAACUAAGUCAUACGUGAAAUCCCUCGGCUUAACCGGGGAACUGCGUCUGAUACUGGAUGGCUUGAGUUUGGGAGAGGGACGCGGAAUUCCAGGUGUAGCGGUGAAAUGCGUAGAUAUCUGGAGGAACACCGGUGGCGAAGGCGGCGUCCUGGACCAAUACUGACACUGAGGAGCGAAAGCCAGGGGAGCAAACAGG